This 323-nucleotide ribosomal RNA is filed under the name Serracutisoma inerme. Its description in RNAcentral is "partial small subunit ribosomal RNA". Lineage: Eukaryota; Metazoa; Arthropoda; Arachnida; Opiliones; Gonyleptidae. The record is from RNAcentral.
CCCUAGUAUUACUAGUAUAAAAUAUAAGUAUAUAGUUGAAAAUAAAUAUUUCUGGCGGUUAAUUUUAGAUUAGAGGAGCUUGUUAAAUUAUUAAGAAUCAACUCUUUAUAUUUUAUGUAUAAAAAGUUUAUUCAUCUCCGUUAUUAGAUAGUUUAUUAACAAAAUUAAUUUUUAUAUCUCAGGUCAAGAUGUAGCAUUUAUAAUAAUAAAUUAGCUACAGUUAUGAAAAAUUGGAUCUUUAUGGGGGUUGAAUAAUUAGGGAGAAAAUGAAUUUAAUUGUAAUUGUAACUAGAAGAUUAUAUUGAAUUAUUAUAAUUAAUGUA